AACGAACGCUGGCGGCAGGCUUAACACAUGCAAGUCGAACGCCCCGCAAGGGGAGUGGCCGACGGGUGAGUAACGCGUGGGAACAUACCCUUUUCUACGGAAUAGCUCUGGGAAACUGGAAUUAAUACCGUAUACGCCCUACGGGGGAAAGAUUUAUCGGGGAAGGAUUGGCCCGCGUUGGAUUGGCUGGUUGGUGGGGUAAAGGCCUACCAAGGCGACGAUCCAUAGCUGGUCUGAGAGGAUGAUCAGCCACAUUGGGACUGAGACACGGCCCAAACUCCUACGGGAGGCAGCAGUGGGGAAUAUUGGACAAUGGGCGCAAGCCUGAUCCAGCCAUGCCGCGUGAGUGAUGAAGGCCUUAGGGUUGUAAAGCUCUUUCACCGAUGAAGAUAAUGACGGUAGUCGGAGAAGAAGCCCCGGCUAACUUCGUG
RNAcentral lists this ribosomal RNA (431 nucleotides) under uncultured bacterium. RNAcentral describes it as "partial 16S ribosomal RNA". It matches the Rfam family "Bacterial small subunit ribosomal RNA", at positions 29 to 507 of the family's 1533-position model. The record is from RNAcentral.